AGGCCCGGGAGGGAUUGCACUUCUCACAGUUAAGCGACACAGAGGCGCAGCGAGCUACGCCUACCUGACAGGACUCCCGCCAUUCAAGGACCCGAUUUAGGCUCUCAGCCCCACGCGCGAUCUGUCAAGAUGACCAGUGUAUACGAUUACAUGAGUGUGACAACAGACUACGAUAAUGAUGAUGGCAGCACCAGCCUGACCACUGAGGAUUUGGAUACUUUUUGCGACAAGGGCGUCGUCCGCUCAUUUAGGGGGUACUACGAGCCCCCACUUUACUGGGGGAUAGUCAUCCUGGGCGGCAUCGGCAACCUGCUGGUGGUGUGGAUCUACCUCCACUUUCGAAACCGCCUGAAGACCAUGACUGACGUGUACCUGCUCAACCUGGCCGUGGCCGACCUGCUCUUCCUGGGCACCCUUCCCUUCUAUGCCUCCGACGCCGUCCAGGGCUGGACCUUCGGGUCCGGGUUGUGCAAGACGGUGUCGGCCGUCUACAAGAUCAACUUCUUCAGCAGCAUGCUGCUGCUCACCUGCAUCAGCGUGGACCGCUACAUCGCCAUCGUGCAGGCCACCAAGGCCCAGAACUCCAAGAAGAAGAGGCUCUUCUACAGCAAGGUGGUGUGCCUGGGCGUCUGGGUGCUGGCCUUCCUGCUGGCCAUGCCGGAAUUCCUCUUUGCCAGCGUCAAGGAGGACUACGAGGGCAACUCCUACUGCACCAUGGUCUACCUGAACAACCAGAAUAACCGCACCAAGAUCCUGGUCCUCGCCCUCCAGAUCUGCAUGGGCUUCUGCCUGCCGUUCCUGGUCAUGUUCUUCUGCUACUUCGUCAUCGUCCGCACCCUGCUGCAGGCCAGGAGCUUCGAGAAGCACAAGGCGCUGCGCGUGAUCCUGGCGGUGGUGGCGGUGUUCGUCCUCUCCCAGCUGCCGUACAACAGCGUCCUGGUGGUGGAGGCCGUGCAGGCGGCCAACACCACCAUCACCGACUGCGAGGAGGCCCGGCGCUUCGACAUCGCCAGCCAGGUCAUGAAGAGCCUGGCCUACACCCACAGCUGCAUCAACCCCUUCCUCUACGCGUUCAUCGGGGUACGGUUCCGCAAGGACCUGGUCAAGGUGUUCCAGGCCUGCCUGUGCAUGCCGGGCAAGUUCACCAAGGUGCCGGGAGGCUCCAAGAGGUCCUCCAUGAUGUCGGACACCGAGACCACCCGGGCCCUGUCGUUGUAGCCCGGAGCGACACUCGAUGUCCACGUUACCGACGUGGGCCAGUUUUUUGCUCCGCAGGGUUACGUCAACAUGUGUGUGCAGGGAUGGCCCAGGAUGGGACUGAAAUCCUUUGGUCAGCAGUGCUGACUUGAGUAGUUUUUUGGGGGGGUGGGGACUGUAAAGGGUCAGUUUAGGAAAAAAUGUACAGCUUGGGACGAGACCUUUCCCCUGGGACAGCUCGAAAAAGGCUGACAUCCGGAAAGUAUGACUGUUAAAGGCCCACCUGAAGAUGGCCACUUCAUAAGUAUAGGAUAAUGGACUUUGCAUCUUAUGGACAAAAUGGUGGAACGUCUUCAUGGUGUACUGUAGGCCUUGCUGGCUGAGGUCUGAGGGGUGGUGCGGGGGUGGAGAGCCAAAUGGUGUUCCCCUAACUUUCCUCUCUACAGCAUUAGUGCAUCUUCAUCACAAAUUUCUACUUUUGGUUUUGUUGCAGGUGAAGCAGGCCCUUCCUGAAAGCCUCUCUGUCUUCAUAUUUCUGUGCAUUGCUGCUUACCUUCAUUCAUGUCUAAGAUGAGGGGGGGGAGGACAGAGUGUGGCACAGUGGGUAAGGAACUGGGCUUGUAACCGAAAGGUCGCCGGUUCGAUUCCCGGGUAAGGACACUGCCGUUGUACCCUUGAGCAAGGUACUUAACCUGCAUUGCUUCAGUAUAUAUAUCCAGCUGUAUAAAUGGAUACAAUGUAAAAUGGUAUGUAAAAAGUUGUGUAAGUCACUCUGGAUAAGAGCGUCUGCUAAAUGCCUGUAAUGUAAUGUAAUGAGGGCAGUUGUGAACUGUUCAGAACUUUCCUGAAGAUCAACCUGAAAAAUGUUUAAAUGAUUCUCUCAUGCAGAACUUAUUUAAAAAGCCGUUUGUUUUUGUUUUUCUGACAUAAGACUAUAGAGACGGUUUUGUUUGUUUUCUGUUUGUUCAGUGAAAUGCUGCUCUUUUCGGAGGACACGUUGCUCUUUUAUGUUGUUUUGUCUGUUUUUUUAUACUUGUAAAUAACAGCAAAUAAAAAAAAAAUCAAGACA
Molecule: RNA transcript, 2266 nt
Organism: Anguilla rostrata (American eel)
Lineage: Eukaryota; Metazoa; Chordata; Actinopteri; Anguilliformes; Anguillidae
Gene: ccr9a
Gene name: chemokine (C-C motif) receptor 9a
Exons: 4
Source: RefSeq, a predicted model, not a curated record